RNAcentral lists this long non-coding RNA (5350 nucleotides) under Gossypium barbadense (sea-island cotton). Its description in RNAcentral is "long non-coding RNA (GBAR_LNC020470)". The record is from RNAcentral. Lineage: Eukaryota; Viridiplantae; Streptophyta; Magnoliopsida; Malvales; Malvaceae.
UUGUAUCGUUAGUAACAAAGGUCUAACUGCACACAAAAAUGAAAAGUAACUGCUUGUAUAUAUAAACUCACAAAAUCAAACAAAUAUUUAAAUAACAAUCCUGACCCUAUUUAUACUAUGGUUUGGGUCUAAUUUAAUAGUAAUACCAUUCAUUAUAUUUGCAACUAUAAUAAAAAAGGUAAAUCGAAAUUUUAAUCUCUCACUCGAAUCUUCUCUUGAACCUCUACUGAAAGAAUUACCAAUUGCUUCUCGAGAUACUUAAGAAUCCCUUGAUCUUAGAAGCACAAUCUGCCUAUAAAACCUCCUUGUUCGAAGAAACAAUGCGAACGCAACGAGGAAUCCAAGCAAAGCAACCGCUGCCAUGAUGAAAAACGAUAACAUGAAACAUUGAGUGUGUUGUUCCAAUAGGGUCGGAAGCGUGUAAAUUAUUGUACUAAAAAAUCACACAAAGUUCAAUUCCCAGGGAAGAGAGGUGGAUCACAAGGAUCUCUUAAAUACCAAGUCUUUCCUUAGACAGAAUAUCCCUUCUAUAGUAAUUUAAUAGCACAAUUAAAUACUACUAUUAUACCCUCAAAUAUUGAAAGAAAAAUAGGACAAGAAAGAACACAAGAGUUUUAACGAGGUUCGGUAAAUUAUACCUACGUCCUCGGGCACUAACACCAGAUGAUAACUUUACUAUCUUCAAAGUAUUACAAACAAAUAGAAUUCCUUAAGAAUUCUCAAAUGGGAGAAGAGAGAAAACUAAGAGAGAAAGAUUGGUUGGGAUGAAUUGAAAUGAGAAAUGAGAAGGCCUAUUUAUAGUUGAGGUUUAAGGACCAAACAAUAAAUAGCCCAUUAUCUCAAGGACCAAAAAAAAUUAUCCCAUGCCACUUUUUCAAAGUCAAAUUUAGGGUGCUAAACUUGCACCACUUUGUAUUGUUUGCCAUUAAUGUUGUCUCCCAUUAAUGUUAACAAUCUCCACCUUGAAGAUUUGAUUAGGAUAAUCACAUCUUCACACACUUCCUUCAACUCCCCAAAUUCGAUAAAGCUAUCUUUUGUAGUGCCUACAAAUGCACUCUCGGGCGCCAUACACCUGAAGGUGCUCAAAUUCUCAGGAUGUUAAUCAAGUUCAAACAAUGAUUAAACUUGAUUGUUGUUACCACCUUGGUCAUCAUAUCUGCGGGAUUAUCUGCUGUCGGAAUCUUCUGAAGUAGAAUUUUUCCUUUUUCAAAGACUUCCCGCACAAAGUGAUAUCUUACGUCGAUAUGCUUGGUUCUUGAAUGAUAGACUUGAUUUUUCGCUAAAUGAAUAGCGCUCUGACUGUCACAAUAUAAACUUAUGUGACUUUGAACAACUCCUAAGUCUUUCAACAAUCCAUUAAGCCAAAUAGCCUCCUUAACAGCUUCUGUAACUGCCAUAUAUUCUGCCUCUGUAGUAGACACAGCUACUGUAGACUGUAAGGUAGACUUCCAACUUAUUGGGGCUUUCGCAAGAGUAAACAGAUACCCCGUAGUUGAACGACGUUUAUCUAAAUCACCAGCAAAGUCGGAAUCAACAUAUCCAACUACAAACUGACCAAGUGCUUCAUCCUGUUCAAAAAUUAAACCAACAUCUACGGUUUUUCGAAGAUACCGUAGAAUCCAUUUCACAGCUUGCCAAUGUCCUUUUCCAGGAUCAUGCAUAUACCUGCUCACAACUCCAACAGCUUGUGAAAUGUCAGGCCUCGUACACACCAUCGCAUACAUCAAACUCCCAACUGCAUUAGCAUAUGGGACUUUCGCCAUAUAUUCUCUUUCAUCUUCAGUCUUCGGAGAUAAUUGAGCACUAAGUUUCAAAUGAGAAGCAAGUGGGGUACUUACAUGUUUUGUGUUUUCAUUUACACCAAAACAUUGUAAUACCUUUUUCAGAUAUUGCUUCUGAUUUAAACAGAGCUUGCCUCUCGGUCUAUCUCUACUUAUCUCCAUGCCGAGAAUCUUCUUGGCCUCACCUAGAUCUUUCAUCUCGAACUCUUGAUUCAACUGAGCCUUCAGCUUAUCUAUCUCAUUUUGGCUCUUCGAAGCGAUUAACAUAUCAUCAACAUACAAGAGUAGAUAAAUGAAAGAUCCGUCAUGCAGCUUCUGCAAAUAUACACAAUUGUCAUAUUUGCUUCUUGUGUACUUCUGCCUUCUCAUAAAGCUAUCAAAUCGCUUGUACCACUGCCUCGGGGAUUGCUUCAAUCCAUAUAGCGAUUUGUUAAGCUUACAAACCCAAUUUCUACCACCAGCAUCUGUGUAUCCUUCUGGCUGAGUCAUAUAGAUCUCCUCUUCUAACUCACCAUGCAAGAAAGCCGUCUUAACAUCAAGUUGAGCUAGCUCCAAAUUCAACUGUGCUACCAAGGCCAACAAAAUUCUAAUGGAGGAAUGCUUCACAACAGGGGAAAAUACAUCAUUGUAGUCAAUUCCCUCCUUCUGAGCGUAGCCUUUAGCUACCAAUCUUGCCUUGUAGCGAAUAUCCUUCUUGCUAGGAGAUCCAUCUUUCUUUGCGAAUACCCACUUGCAUCCGAUUGCCCUUUUACCUUUCGGUAAUUGCGCCAACUCCCAAGUAUUAUUCUUCCGGAGAGACUGCAUUUCUUCAUCCAUGGCGCUUUUCCAUUUAUCACUUUCUAAGCUUUGCAUUGCUUCUUGAUAAGUGAUAGGAAUAUCAUCAACAACGGGAAGGGCGUAGGCCACUAUAUCAGUAAAUCGAGCAGGUUUACGAAUUUCUCUCCGUGGCCUUGCAACUGCAACUGGUUCUGGUGUACUUAGUGGUUCUUGGGUCAGAACCUCUUCAACCUCUAAUUCCUCCAUUGUGGCUGGAGAAUUAGACUUAUUAACUGGGCAAAUCCCCAUCUGCUCAAACUCCACCUGUUUUGGAGUACACUCCACCUGCUGUGGAGUAUUGCUCGUCUGAAUAUCUUUAUCUGCUACCUUUUUCAAUGUGGUAGAUUCAUCAAAGGUAACAUCUCUGCUACAGAUCAUUUUCUUUGUGCUUAAGCACCAAAGACGAAAUCCCUUCACUCCAGAAGUGAUUCCCAUAAAGAGAGCUUUCUUUGCCCUCGGAUCUAACUUUGACUCCUUCACAUGGUAAUAUGCAGUGGUUCCAAACACAUGUAAGGAAUCAUAAUCUGUAGCCGGUUUUCCAGACCAUACCUCCAUAGGAGUUUUUCUUUCUAAUGCAGAUGAUGGCAAACGAUUAACAAGAUGGCCAGCGUAUGUCACAGCCUCAGCCCAAAAUUGCUUGCCCAACCCAGCAUUGGACAACAUACAUCGAACUUUCUCCAGCAAUGUUCGAUUCAUACGCUCUGCCAAUCCAUUCUGCUGUGGUGUAUCCCUAACUGUGAAGUGUCGAACAAUACCAUACUCUUGGCACACAUCGAAGAACGGAUCACUUUUAUAUUCCCCUCCAUUGUCCGUCCUAAGCCGCUUGAUUUUCUUGCCAGUCUGGUUUUCGAUCAUAGUUUUCCAUUUAAGAAAAACUCCAAGCACUUCAUCUUUAGUUUUCAUGGUAUACACCCAAACUCUUCUGGAAAAGUCAUCAACAAAAGUAACAAAGUAGUGUUUUCCUCCCAAUGAAGGUGUUUUGGAAGGCCCCCACACAUCUGAGUGAAUAUAUUCCAAAAUACCUUUUGUAUUAUGGAUAGCAGUGCCGAAUUUCACUCUCUUUUGCUUUCCCAGAACACAGUGCUCACAAAAUUUUAAUUUGCAAGCCUUUACACCUUUCAACAAUCCUUGCUUUGCCAGAAUUUGCAAGGAUUUUUCGCUGGCAUGUCCCAACUUCAUAUGCCACAACUGCAUUGAGUCCAAGUCUUUGUUACCGGAAGCUGCAGCGACUGCUCCAAUAACUGUACUACCUUGGUAGUAAUACAAGUUAUUUUUCCUGAUGCCCUUCAAUAUCACAAGUGCGCCAGAUGUCACUUUCAAAACCCCAUCUCUCAUAGUAACAACUGAACCAUUGGAUUCCAAGGCUCCCAAUGAGAUGAGAUUUUUCUUCAAACUGGGCACGUACCGAACAUCAGUCAGAACUCUGGUUGAUCCAUCUUUAUUCUUUAAUUGGAUUGAACCUAUCCCAACAGUUUUACAGGCAUUGUCAUUGCCCAUAUAAACAACUCCUCCAUUUAGUUCUACUAAAUCAGAGAACCACUCCCGGUUAGGGGACAUAUGAUAGGUACAACCCGAAUCCAAUAUCCACUCAUCUGAAUGGAACGACGAUGAUGAUGCAACCAGUGAUAGUUCAGAGUCACUAGUAUCAUGCUUAGCAACACAAGCAUCUACAGCAGCUUUUCCCUUAUUCUUCAGCUUUGGACAAUUUUUCUUCCAGUGGCCUUUCUCAUGACAAAAAGCACAUUCAUCUUUCCCGAGUCUGGACUUUGACUUUGAUCUCCCCUUUUGAGUUUUCUUCCGAGUGUAUGAACGACCUCGGACUAGUAAAGCUUCUGUAUCUCUGAUUGAGUUUUUCUGUUUGUCCUUCUUUCUCUGUUCAUAACUGUAUAAGGCCGCACAGACUUCGCUCAGAGAUAUAUCACUCCUGCCAUGAAGUAGAGUAGUUUCUAGGAACUCAAACUCCUCAGGAAGUGACCCCAACAGCAUCAAAGCCAAAUCUUCAUCUUUGAAUGUCUCAUCCAUAUUCAGCAAAUCAGUGACUAACUGAUUAAAUUUGGUGAUGUGAUCAUUCAUUGUGGUACUUGGGACGUAUGUGAAGCGAAACAGUCUUUUCUUCAAGUGGAGCUUAUUUUGACUGUUUUUCUUCAAAAAUUUUUCUUCAAGUGCCACCCACAACUUAUUUGCAGAAGUCUCCUUUGAAAAAGCAUACCUCUGCUCUCGAGAAAGGCAUGAUCGAAUUGUGCCACAUGCCAACCGAUUGAUCGCCUUCCAAUCUUUCUCCUGUACAUCAUCUGGUUUCUCUUCAUCAAUGGCAAUGUCUAGACCCUGCUGAAAAAGGGCAUCUAGAACCUCACUUUGCCACAUACCAAAAUGGCCCGUGCCAUCAAAGAUCUCCACGGCCAAUCUUGCAUUUGCAAUUGUCGGUCUUGUCCACAUGGACGAUGUUGAAGCUCCUACACCGACCGUUUUCUCCAUAAUCUUUCAAUAUACCUAAGGAAAUCUUUUCUGAUGUGGAAGAUCAGUUCAAACUGCAACCACAGAGCAUACUACGAUUAACCUUCGGCUCUUGAUACCACUUGUUGUUCCAAUAGGGUCGGAAGCGUGUAAAUUAUUGUACUAAAAAAUCACACAAAGUUCAAUUCCCAGGGAAGAGAGGUGGAUCACAAGGAUCUCUUAAAUACCAAGUCUUUCCUUAGACAGAAUAUCCCUUCUAUAGUAAUUUAAUAGCACAAUUAAAUACUACUAUUAUACCC